GACGAACGCUGGCGGCGUGCUUAACACAUGCAAGUCGAACGGAAAGGCCCCUUGGGGGGUACUCGGGGGGCGACGGGGGGAGUAACACUGGAGUAACCGCCCCUUGACUUCGGGAUAACUUCAGGAAACUGGGGCUAUAACCGGAUAGGAAUCCUGGCGCAAUGGUGGGGGUUGGAAAGCUUCGGCGGUUUUGGAUGGACUCGCGGCUUAUCAGCUUGUUGGUGGGGUAGUGGCUUACCAAGGCUUUGACGGGUAGCCGGCCGGAGAGGGCGACCGGCCACAUUGGGACUGAGAUACGGCCCAGACUCCUACGGGAGGCAGCAGUGGGGAAUAUUGCACAAUGGGCGGAAGCCUGAUGCAGCAACGCCGCGUGCGGGAUGACGGCCUUCGGGUUGUAAACCGCUUUCAGCGGGGGCGAAGCUUGUGGUGACGGUACCUGCAGAAGAAGCACCGGCUAACUACGUG
Molecule: ribosomal RNA, 465 nt
Filed under: uncultured bacterium
Lineage: Bacteria
Description: partial 16S ribosomal RNA
Rfam family: Bacterial small subunit ribosomal RNA
Source: RNAcentral